RNAcentral lists this ribosomal RNA (508 nucleotides) under uncultured bacterium. Its description in RNAcentral is "bacterial SSU rRNA". It matches the Rfam family "Bacterial small subunit ribosomal RNA", at positions 20 to 518 of the family's 1533-position model. The record is from RNAcentral.
UGGCUCAGAUUGAACGCUGGCGGCAGGCCUAACACAUGCAAGUCGAACGGUAACAGGAGCAGCUUGCUGCUUGCUGACGAGUGGCGGACGGGUGAGUAAUGUCUGGGAAACUGCCUGAUGGAGGGGGGAUAACUACUGGAAACGGUAGCUAAUACCGCAUAACGUCGCAAGACCAAGGAGGGGGACCUUCGGGCCUCUUGCCAUCAGAUGUGCCCAGAUGGGAUUAGCUUGUUGGUGGGGUAACGGCUCACCAAGGCGACGAUCCCUAGCUGGUCUGAGAGGAUGACCAGCCACACUGGAACUGAGACACGGUCCAGACUCCUACGGGAGGCAGCAGUGGGGAAUAUUGCACAAUGGGCGCAAGCCUGAUGCAGCCAUGCCGCGUGUAUGAAGAAGGCCUUCGGGUUGUAAAGUACUUUCAGCGGGGAGGAAGGUGUUGUGGUUAAUAACCACAGCAAUUGACGUUACCCGCAGAAGAAGCACCGGCUAACUCCGUGCCAGCCGCGGC